UUAUAGUGAUGUGGGGACGCAACGUGGUAGACCAGCCCAUUAUUGGAUUUGGGUGCAAUCCGUUUAGGCGUUGAGACCGGUAGGAAAAUCCGCCGGUUGAGCUGAGACGAGCGCGAGCCCUUGAGGCGUAAGUGGUUGAGCCAUAUUGCCAAGAAAAGCCACUAAACGUUGUAAUAUUCAGGUGCCUGUACCGCAAUCCGACACUGGUGGACGGGUUGAGUAUACCAAGGCGAACGGGAGAACUAUCGUUAAGGAACUAGGCAACAUGACCCCGUAACUUCGGGAUAAGGGGUACCCACGCAAGUGGGUCGCAGUGAAAUGGCUCUAGUGACUGUUUAACAAAAACACAGGUCUCUGCUAAGCCGUAAGGCGAUGUAUAGGGGCUGACGCGUGCCCAGUGCCGGAAGGUUAAAGGGAGAGGUUAGACGCAAGUCGAAGCUUUGAACUGAAGCCCCGGUGAACGGCGGCCGUAACUAUAACGGUCCUAAGGUAGCGAAAUUCCUUGUCGGGUAAGUUCCGACCCGCACGAACCGCGUAACAACUAGAGCACUGUCUCAACGAUAGACCCGGUGAAAUUGAAAUGGCUGUGAAGAUGCGGCCUACCCGCAGUAGGACAAAAAGACCCCGUGGAGCUUUACUGCAAUUUGGCAUUGAAUUUGGGUAAGAUCUGUGUAGCAUAGGUGGGAGGCUUUGAAGCUGGGGCGCUAGCCUCGGUGGAGCCAUUAGUGAAAUACCACCCUGAUCUUAUUUAGAUCCUAACCCCAUACCGUCAUCCGGAUGGGGAACCGUGCCAGAUGGGCAGUUUGACUGGGGCGGUCGCCUCCUAAAAAGUAACGGAGGCGCCCAAAGGUUCCCUCAGGUUGAAUGGAAACCAACCAAAGAGUGUAAAGGCAUAAGGGAGCUUGACUGCAAGACCAACGCGUCGAGCAGAGACGAAAGUCGGGCUUAGUGAUCCCACGAUACCGCGUGGAAGGGUCGUGGCUUACCGGAUAAAAGCUACCCCGGGGAUAACAGGCUGGUGAAGUCCAAGAGUUCACAUCGACGACUUCGCUCGGCACCUCGAUGUCGGCUCAUCGCAUCCUGGGGCUGUACAAGGUCCCAAGGGUCGGGCUGUUCGCCCGUUAAAGCGGUACGCGAGCUGGGUUCAGACCGUCGUGAGACAGGUCGGUCUCUAUCCACUGUGGGCGCAAGGGAUUUGAAGGGAGCUGCUCCUAGUACGAGAGGACCGGAGUGGACAGACCUCUGGUGUGCCAGUUGUUCCGCCAGGAGCAUCGCUGGGUAGCUAUGUCUGGCAAGGAUAACCGCUGAAAGCAUCUAAGUGGGAAACCUGCCCUAAGAUUAGAUCCCUCAUGGAGUUAAUCCAGUAAGACCGCAGGUAGACUACCUGCUAUAUAGGCGGCAUGUGUAAGCGUAGUAAUAUGUUGAGCUAAGCCGUACUAAUGGUCGAGGGCUGAGCAAA
RNAcentral lists this ribosomal RNA (1459 nucleotides) under metagenome. RNAcentral describes it as "bacterial LSU rRNA". It matches the Rfam family "Bacterial large subunit ribosomal RNA", at positions 1456 to 2925 of the family's 2925-position model. The record is from RNAcentral.